Long non-coding RNA from Bombus huntii, 318 nucleotides. RefSeq lists it as uncharacterized. NCBI's taxonomy places the organism in Eukaryota, Metazoa, Arthropoda, Insecta, Hymenoptera, Apidae. The transcript has 2 exons. The record is from RefSeq and is a predicted model, not a curated record.
UACUUUUAUAACAAUUCAACAGUUCUAUUAUUUCCUCUGGAAUAUCUUUUCAAAUACCUACGACGAUCCUUUGCAAGUAGUCAAAUAAGCGCCACCCGAAUAUGGGUUACGCGGCCCGACCUUUGCCGACACCCGAAUACAGCCGCUGCGCCUAUAUGAUGAGGACUAAAUAGAACGGACAGCAUCCUACUUUCCAAACCUUGCAGAGCUAAUACAAUAAUACCAACGGGCUGUCGUUCUCGAAGAAACUGAGAGAAUGUCAAAUGUUUUUAUAAAUAUAAAAUAUUAAUUAAAUGAUAUUCCAGUGGAUUAAAUAUA